Molecule: ribosomal RNA, 285 nt
Filed under: Lysinibacillus fusiformis
Lineage: Bacteria; Bacillati; Bacillota; Bacilli; Caryophanales; Bacillaceae
Description: partial 16S ribosomal RNA
Rfam family: Bacterial small subunit ribosomal RNA
Source: RNAcentral
GGUGGGGAUGACGUCAAAUCAUCAUGCCCCUUAUGACCUGGGCUACACACGUGCUACAAUGGACGAUACAAACGGUUGCCAACUCGCGAGAGGGAGCUAAUCCGAUAAAGUCGUUCUCAGUUCGGAUUGUAGGCUGCAACUCGCCUACAUGAAGCCGGAAUCGCUAGUAAUCGCGGAUCAGCAUGCCGCGGUGAAUACGUUCCCGGGCCUUGUACACACCGCCCGUCACACCACGAGAGUUUGUAACACCCGAAGUCGGUGAGGUAACCUUUUGGAGCCAGCCGC